CUUUUCCCUGUGGGGUUGAGUUCGCUCGGUGUCUCACUCCUGCUCGCGGGGGGGGGCCGGGGCCGGGGCGCGGGCGACAGAGACUUUCUCACUUCUCAAAGAUGUUCGCGGGAAGCGUAACUGCAGGGCGGCGGGCGGCUGCGCUCACACAAGCAUUGGGGCGGGCGCUGUGGCCGGGUGUUGGGGGAUUGGGCCGGAGGCCCGAGGACCAUGUGCAUGUUUGUCGGGAGCCUGAAGUCCCUGCAGGUCAGGGCCCUGCCCCAGGCUAGCCGCUGGGAGUGAGCAGCCCCGAGAGAAGCGGGUGGCAGGCCCGCUCAGGGCUUUGGGAACCGGAGCAGCAUCCUUCCUCGAGGCUGCAGAUUACCAAGGUGCCAGCAUGUGAUCACCAACAGCUGAGCAUGGUCUGCUCAGAAGGUAAGCAAGCUCUGUUUUGUGGAGGGGCUGGUGGUUUCGGGGGCCUAUUGGCAGUGCCACCUGGCUGAUCUGAUACCUUGUACUGCGUAGCCCUUGACCUUUAUUGUCAGAAUGUGGUUCAUGGUGUCUGGAUCAGACUGCACAGUGAGCCCAGGAAUUCUUUUUUAUGUCAUAGAGCCCUGAGCAAUCUGCUUCUGUGUUCAGAGAUGCUCUGAAAAUUGAUGGCCUUAGCUUUGUAAUGUUUAAUGUGACUAAAUGGGUUAAAAAACAUCCGCAGUGAACCGAGUUCUUUAGGGACUCGUGAUAGGAUGGCUGUAAUUUGUAGUGGUGGCUGGCAGCACAGAACAAUCUGUCCUUGGCACCUGCUGUCUGUCGACAGGUGCCUCGUGUGCAUCCCACCAGGUGUUGAGCGCUGAAGAAUGAUCAGAGCAGAGUUUUAAAGCUGCCAGCGGUGGCCCAGAGACCUCAGCCCAAGAAGAGGCUGUGCUGCAGCAGAGGCAGAAUUCGAAGGCCCAAGGACCAGUCCUGGCCAUCCAUCCACGUGGACUCUGAAAACCGGGCCUUGACAGUUGGUGUAGAAAUGAUGCUCACCUCGUGCUGAGGGGACAUAAUUGCCACUGAGGGAACCAAGAAAUGGACUUGUCAACCUUUCCCUGGGACAGGCACUUUCGGUGUUAGUAGAUUCAUGAGUUUUUCAUCAUCGUCUCUUAACCAAAAGGAGCUUUUGCAUUUUAAAAUACUGUAAAUUUGUUAUAUUUGGUGUUUUAAACUGGAAAUGUCACAAAAUGUCCAUGCAGUUACAGUAAACACAAUGAAAGGAU
RNAcentral lists this long non-coding RNA (1235 nucleotides) under Sus scrofa (pig). RNAcentral's name for it is "lncRNA (ENSSSCG00060074270.1)". Lineage: Eukaryota; Metazoa; Chordata; Mammalia; Artiodactyla; Suidae. The record is from RNAcentral.